This 30-nucleotide non-coding RNA is filed under the name Rattus norvegicus (Norway rat). Lineage: Eukaryota; Metazoa; Chordata; Mammalia; Rodentia; Muridae. The record is from RNAcentral.
UGGUGAAAGGUGUUCAAUGACCCUUACCUG